RNAcentral lists this transfer RNA (66 nucleotides) under Neocrepidodera ferruginea. RNAcentral describes it as "tRNA-Glu". Lineage: Eukaryota; Metazoa; Arthropoda; Insecta; Coleoptera; Chrysomelidae. The record is from RNAcentral.
AUUUAUAUAGUUUAAUAAAAACAUUACAUUUUCAUUGUAAAAUUAGACAAAUUAAUCUUAUAAAUA